AGAUAUGAGGAUGAUCUGGCUGUGACAUUUGUCACCCCAUUGAUUGCCAGGGUUGGUUCGGCCUACCUGGCUGGCUAGGCAGGUGCUCCCUUUCUCCCUCACAGCUCCAUCCAUGUGUGUCCCUCCCAAAGCCGCAUGCUCAGUUAAAGAGGACAACCUUCCCCAAUAGAAGAAGACCAUUCUUCUGUCUAGGGUAUAUAAGUAACUACAUGCCCCUGUUGGAACCUCCAAAAAGGUUCAAAAGAAGAUAGACAAAUGGCCAACAAACAUAUUAAAAAAUGUUCAACAUCACUAAUCACUAG
Molecule: small nuclear RNA, 302 nt
Filed under: Propithecus coquereli (Coquerel's sifaka)
Lineage: Eukaryota; Metazoa; Chordata; Mammalia; Primates; Indriidae
Description: 7SK RNA (ENSPCOG00000011514.1)
Rfam family: 7SK RNA
About the family: 7SK was discovered as an abundant small nuclear RNA in the mid-70s but a possible function has only recently been suggested. Two independent studies have found that 7SK RNA binds the CDK9/cyclin T complex (known as elongation factor P-TEFb).
Source: Rfam by way of RNAcentral